Molecule: ribosomal RNA, 871 nt
Filed under: uncultured Bacteroidota bacterium
Lineage: Bacteria; Pseudomonadati; Bacteroidota
Description: bacterial SSU rRNA
Rfam family: Bacterial small subunit ribosomal RNA
Source: RNAcentral
GAGUUUGAUCAUGGCUCAGGAUGAACGCUAGCGACAGGCUUAACACAUGCAAGUCGAGGGGCAGCACAGGUAGCAAUACCGGGUGGCGACCGGCGCACGGGUGAGUAACGCGUAUGCAACUUGCCUAUCAGAGGGGGAUAACCCGGCGAAAGUCGGACUAAUACCGCAUGAAGCAGGGAUCCCGCAUGGGAAUAUUUGCUAAAGAUUCAUCGCUGAUAGAUAGGCAUGCGUUCCAUUAGGCAGUUGGCGGGGUAACGGCCCACCAAACCGACGAUGGAUAGGGGUUCUGAGAGGAAGGUCCCCCACAUUGGUACUGAGACACGGACCAAACUCCUACGGGAGGCAGCAGUGAGGAAUAUUGGUCAAUGGCCGAGAGGCUGAACCAGCCAAGUCGCGUGAGGGAUGAAGGUUCUAUGGAUCGUAAACCUCUUUUAUAAGGGAAUAAAGUGCGGGACGUGUCCCGUUUUGUAUGUACCUUAUGAAUAAGGAUCGGCUAACUCCGUGCCAGCAGCCGCGGUAAUACGGAGGAUCCGAGCGUUAUCCGGAUUUAUUGGGUUUAAGGGGUGCGUAGGCGGCCUUUUAAGUCAGCGGUGAAAGUCUGUGGCUCAACCAUAGAAUUGCCGUUGAAACUGGGGGGCUUGAGUAUGUUUGAGGCAGGCGGAAUGCGUGGUGUAGCGGUGAAAUGCAUAGAUAUCACGCAGAACCCCGAUUGCGAAGGCAGCCUGCCAAGCCAUUACUGACGCUGAUGCACGAAAGCGUGGGGAUCAAACAGGAUUAGAUACCCUGGUAGUCCACGCAGUAAACGAUGAUCACUAGCUGUUUGCGAUACACUGUAAGCGGCACAGCGAAAGCGUUAAGUGAUCCACCUGGG